GAGAUGUACAGUAUUUCGUAUCAUCUAAACUGGAAAUUUAUACAAUAUUUCUAAAUUACAGAAACAUAACACUUACCUCUCAGGAUCUUUCGGAAAUCUGAAAAAUGAUAAAUUUGAAUGUUUUUGCUUAUAUUUUCUGCAAAAAGCUGCAGCACAACACGAGUGUCCGGAAGACGCCAUUUCUUCUUAGCACUGAAUGUCCUCUAGUCGGUGCUGGAAAACGAGUUUAUAAAAACGUCAAAGUUUCGUAUCCGUUCUAUCAUCAUCCGUGUAGACCACUUUUAUACCUAAAUCACCUUUAUGAAAUGCGAUUUUCUAAAAAUCUCGGUCUAAAUUUCUAGACGAGAGAGCUGGUCUAGACCACGUCUCUGAAAUCGGGCCUAUGUGUUCCGAUGUACACUAUUCUCCAAGUACA
This 415-nucleotide long non-coding RNA is filed under the name Androctonus crassicauda. Lineage: Eukaryota; Metazoa; Arthropoda; Arachnida; Scorpiones; Buthidae. The record is from RNAcentral.